GAUGAAGAACGCAGCGAAAUGCGAUAAGUAAUGCGAAUUGCAGAAUUUCCGUGAGUCAUCGAAUCUUUGAACGCACAUUGCGCCCACUGGUAUUCCGGUGGGCAUGCCUGUUCGAGCGUCAUUUCACCACUCAAGCCUCGCUUGGUAUUGGGCAACGCGGUCCGCCGCGUGCCUCAAAUCGACCGGCUGGGUCUUCUGUCCCCUAAGCGUUGUGGAAACUAUUCGCUAAAGGGUGUUCGGGAGGCUACGCCGUAAAACAACCCCAUUUCUAAGGUUGACCUCGGAUCAGGUAGGGAUACCCGCUGAACUUAAGCAUAUCAAUAAGCGGAGGA
RNAcentral lists this unclassified non-coding RNA (332 nucleotides) under soil metagenome. Its description in RNAcentral is "partial contains 5.8S ribosomal RNA, internal transcribed spacer 2, and large subunit ribosomal RNA". The stretch from base 1 to 121 matches the Rfam family "5.8S ribosomal RNA", at positions 35 to 154 of the family's 154-position model. The record is from RNAcentral.